AGAGUUUGAUCAUGGCUCAGAAUCAACGCUGGCGGCGUGCCUAACACAUGCAAGUCGCACGAGAAAGGGGAGCAAUCCCUGAGUAAAGUGGCGCACGGGUGAGUAACACGUGAAUUAUCUACCUCCGAGUGGGGAAUAACUGAGAGAAAUCUUAGCUAAUACCGCAUAACACUUACGAGUCAAAGCAGCAAUGCGCUUGGAGAGGAGUUCGCGGCCGAUUAGUUAGUUGGCGGGGUAAUGGCCCACCAAGACGAUGAUCGGUAUCCGGCCUGAGAGGGCGCACGGACACACUGGAACUGAAACACGGUCCAGACUCCUACGGGAGGCAGCAGUGGGGAAUUUUGCGCAAUGGGGGAAACCCUGACGCAGCAACGCCGCGUGGAGGAUGAAAUAUCUUGGUAUGUAAACUCCUUUCGAUGGGGAAGAUUAUGACGGUACCCAUAGAAGAAGCCCCGGCUAACUUCGUGCCAGCAGCCGCGGUAAUACGAGGGGGGCAAGCGUUGUUCGGAUUUAUUGGGCGUAAAGGGUGCGUAGGCGGUUUGGCAAGUCUGAUGUGAAAUCUAUGGGCUCAACCCAUAGUCUGCAUCAGAAACUGCCGGGCUUGAGUAUGGGAGAGGUGAGUGGAAUUUCCGGUGUAGCGGUGAAAUGCGUAGAUAUCGGAAGGAACACCUGUGGCGAAAGCGGCUCACUGGACCAUUACUGACGCUGAUGUACGAAAGCUAGGGGAGCAAACAGGAUUAGAUACCCUAGUAGUCC
RNAcentral lists this ribosomal RNA (756 nucleotides) under uncultured bacterium. RNAcentral describes it as "bacterial SSU rRNA". It matches the Rfam family "Bacterial small subunit ribosomal RNA", at positions 8 to 796 of the family's 1533-position model. The record is from RNAcentral.